CCUACGGGUUGCAGCAGUGGGGAAUAUUGCACAAUGGGCGCAAGCCUGAUGCAGCCAUGCCGCGUGUAUGAAGAAGGCCUUCGGGUUGUAAAGUACUUUCAGCGGGGAGGGAGGCGAUAAGGUUAAUAACCUUGUCGAUUGACGUUACCCGCAGAAGAAGCACCGGCUAACUCCGUGCCAGCAGCCGCGGUAAUACGGAGGGUGCAAGCGUUAAUCGGAAUUACUGGGCGUAAAGCGCACGCAGGCGGUCUGUCAAGUCGGAUGUGAAAUCCCCGGGCUAAACCUGGAACUGCAUUCGAAACUGGCAGGCUAGAGUCUUGUAGAGGGGGGUAGAAUUCCAGGUGUAGCGGUGAAAUGCGUAGAGAUCUGGAGGAAUACCGGUGGCGAAGGCGGCCCCCUGGACAAAGACUGACGCUCAGGUGCGAAAGCGUGGGGAGCAAACAGGAUUAGAUACCUCGUAGUC
This 463-nucleotide ribosomal RNA is filed under the name uncultured bacterium. RNAcentral describes it as "bacterial SSU rRNA". It matches the Rfam family "Bacterial small subunit ribosomal RNA", at positions 338 to 795 of the family's 1533-position model. The record is from RNAcentral.